This 440-nucleotide ribosomal RNA is filed under the name uncultured bacterium. Its description in RNAcentral is "partial 16S ribosomal RNA". It matches the Rfam family "Bacterial small subunit ribosomal RNA", at positions 338 to 795 of the family's 1533-position model. The record is from RNAcentral.
CCUACGGGUGGCAGCAGUGGGGGAUAUUGCACAAUGGGGGAAACCCUGAUGCAGCGACGCCGCGUGUGGGAAGACGGUCCUCUGGAUUGUAAACCACUGUCCCCAGGGACGAAGAUGACGGUACCUGGGGAGGAAGCUCCGGCUAACUACGUGCCAGCAGCCGCGGUAAUACGUAGGGAGCGAGCGUUGUCCGGAAUUACUGGGUGUAAGGGGAGCGUAGGCGGGACUGCAAGUUGGGUGUCAAAUCUACCGGCUCAACCGGUAGCCGCACUCAAAACUGCAGUUCUUGAGUGAAGUAGAGGCAGGCGGAAUGCCUAGUGUAGCGGUGAAAUGCGUAGAUAUUAGGAGGAACACCAGUGGCGAAGGCGGCCUGCUGGGCUUUUACUGACGCUGAGGCUCGAAAGUGUGGGGAGCAAACAGGAUUAGAUACCCCUGUAGUC